This 297-nucleotide ribosomal RNA is filed under the name uncultured bacterium. RNAcentral's name for it is "partial 16S ribosomal RNA". It matches the Rfam family "Bacterial small subunit ribosomal RNA", at positions 333 to 627 of the family's 1533-position model. The record is from RNAcentral.
AUUCACCUACGGGAGGCAGCAGUGAGGAAUAUUGGUCAAUGGGCUUACGCCUGAACCAGCCACGUCGCGUGAGGGAAGACUGCCCUAUGGGUUGUAAACCUCUUUUGUCGGGGAGCAAAGAGACCACGUGUGGUCAAAAGCGAGAGUACCCGAAGAAAAAGCAUCGGCUAACUCCGUGCCAGCAGCCGCGGUAAUACGGAGGAUGCGAGCGUUAUCCGGAUUUAUUGGGUUUAAAGGGUGCGUAGGCGGGACGGUAAGGCAUCGGUAAAAAUGCGGAGCUCAACUCCGUCGAGCCGU